UGACCAACGACACCAAUGCCGAGCUCGCUAUGGAUGGAUGGAGACGGUGAGAUAGCUGCCUAUAUGAGAAGUGUGGGAUCCAAUUGCAACCACAUCACAACACAAUAAAAUCACUGUUAGGCUGAGCCUCGCAGGUGACAUAUUGGGUUUGUUUCUGGAUUCCAUUUUUCAUCUUCAAAAAUGCAAUCCAGAAGCAAACUUUUUGGUCAGUGAGUGAAUCUAACUCAUCAAGUCAGUGAGUUAAUAUUCCAACAGUUAGGAUCCUGACAAGAUUUAUCUCAAAAUGUGAUAGCUGUGAUGGAGAGUCGCAGCUGAUCUCAAGAUACAAUGGAUGAAUGUUGCAACAAGGGCGGUUUGACCAAAAUAUAUACAGGAACUCUGAUGGCCAAGUUGAAAGAGCCAAAGCACAAGGAAUAAUGAGGUGAAACAACCGUGGAACACAAGUUAAAUUAGCAUGAUUGAAGAUGAAGUACGAUAAAAAUUACACACGCUCACUUGCAAAAGAGUAAGUUUGAUGCAAAGAAAACACUCUUCGCCUAAUACACUCAUCUACCAGCCAUAGUACACAACACAGAAUUCAUUCGAGGCCGGCUCGACUGGGUAUCGUCGUUCUCACUGUCAUCAUCGCUAUCGGAUGCAUUACUUGUGUUGUUCAUGGAAUCCGAGGCACCAAUAAGGCAGGAGAUAUGGUAUGCACAGCAACAGAAGAAGACACCGACAGAAAGGUUCUGAGCGUAAAACGGAUCGAAACACAAGCAACAUCACCCGCGCCCCUCCCAUAUCCUCCGACUUGCUGAUGAUGACUGCAAGAGCUUGUUUCACAUCUCCCAUCCUUCCAAGUAAGAAUACUUGCUCUCUAACAAGAUCUUUUUCCACACAGAUCUCAUAUGCCUGAAAGAUGAUGCUAGUCGGGCUUCCAGUUUACCACAAUGAUUUACAAACCAGCACAGGAAUAGAAGUCUGAACCUUGGCUAGUCUAUACUCUAUAGUGCUGACUGCUGCCAAGAAAUGGUGGCAGCAUCUUUGGUUCAUAUUCUUCAUAAAGCUCAACCUAUAACAGAAAACAAAUGUUAUCCAUACACAUCAUAAAAGAAGUAAAAGAUGAAUAUGAGUAUGUUGCUUUAUCAAACAAAUGCUGAUGGGUGCUAAUUUGGGAUGAACAGUUAGAAAGAAACUUAGCUAAUAUAUUUUCAUGUUGCCAACUUGCAAACUUG
Molecule: long non-coding RNA, 1214 nt
Filed under: Musa acuminata (dwarf banana)
Lineage: Eukaryota; Viridiplantae; Streptophyta; Magnoliopsida; Zingiberales; Musaceae
Description: long non-coding RNA (MACU_LNC001763)
Source: RNAcentral